AACGAACGCUGGCGGCAUGCCUAACACAUGCAAGUCGAACGAGACCUUCGGGUCUAGUGGCGCACGGGUGCGUAACGCGUGGGAACCUGCCCUUAGGUUCGGAAUAACUCCCCGAAAGGGGUGCUAAUACCGGAUAAUGUCUUCGGACCAAAGAUUUAUCGCCUUUGGAUGGGCCCGCGUUGGAUUAGCUCGUUGGUAGGGUAAAAGCCUACCAAGGCGACGAUCCAUAGCUGGUCUGAGAGGAUGAGCAGCCACACUGGGACUGAGACACGGCCCAGACUCCUACGGGAGGCAGCAGUGGGGAAUAUUGGACAAUGGGCGAAAGCCUGAUCCAGCAAUGCCGCGUGAGUGAUGAAGGCCUUAGGGUUGUAAAGCUCUUUUACCCGGGAUGAUAAUGACAGUACCGGGAGAAUAAGCUCCGGCUAACUCCGUG
Molecule: ribosomal RNA, 433 nt
Filed under: uncultured bacterium
Lineage: Bacteria
Description: partial 16S ribosomal RNA
Rfam family: Bacterial small subunit ribosomal RNA
Source: RNAcentral